GUGCUGUUCAGAACCAUGUCUAGCGUUACUUUUGCUUUCUGGAAAAGAUCUUUCCAUCCUGCAUACAUGGUUUUCUACCUAGGAAGUAAAAAUUAUUUGAAAGUUUAUAAACAAAAUGGAUUUGCCCUCCAUGAAUGUGGUUGGGAUUCUGGGUAACAUGUCUGGUUUUGUAAAUUAUAUGUUCAGUUGGUGGGGAAACCCUGAGAAGACACCCAUAUACCUUAUUCUCACUCACUUGGCUUUUACAGACAUCAUAAUUCUUCUUACAAAAGGACUGACAAAGGCAAUAGCAGCUUUUGAUUUGAGAAACUUCCUAGAUGAUAUAAGCUGUGAGAUUGAAAGACCCCCGAAGGGAGACCCUCACUCAAGCCUCGGGACAGCCGCGGACCCAAGAAGACACUGAGACCGAACUCAAAAUGUUGAAGGCAAGAUUUAAUAAAGCAACAGCAAGAAAGCACAUAGACCAGAGCUCUGGGGUCGAAACUCAUGCACCUAGUAUGGUGUAGAGGAGAAUCGACCUCGAGCCAAAUUUUUCACAGGCUUAUAUAGGAAAAACUCAAGGGGGGAGAGCGGGGCAGGGAAAGUACAAGUUUGCAUAACUAAGGGGUUCUGCCAAGGGACAAGGGGUUCUGCCAAGGGAAUUCUAUGUAACUAAGGGGUCAUGUCCUAUUAUUUGGCAAUGUACCCGGUUCAUUCUGAGGUUGUUCCAGGAGGCCCUUAUCUCAAAAAUGUUCUUGGAACAGUCUUUAGUUGGGAGGGUUCGAACUCUAGGAUGAGGAGUUCAGGAAUGCAUUCUGGGGUGAAGAGUUCAGGAGUGUUCUGGGAACAAUCUCUAGAUGGGAGGGGUCGGGCUCUGGGGUGAGGAAGAGUUCAGUAAUUUUUUAUCUUUAUUCUUCAAGAUCAUUGUUUACCUGAAGCAGUUGGCCUGUGGCCUAUCCAUCUGCAUCAGCAGCCUCCUCACUCUGGUCCAGGCCAUUAUCAUCAGUCCCAGAGCAUCUGGAUAGAGGAGCCUCAGGCCAAAGUAUGCAUGGCACAUUCUUCCAUUCUUGUCAUUCUUUUUGGAUGCUCAGUGCUUUGAUAAGUAUGAACCUAAUCCAUUCCAUCACAAGUACAGGUCUGAAUGUGUCACAGCUUAAGAAUAGUGAUAACCAUUGCUAUUUUAUUCUAGAAAGUCAGGAAAUAAAAUGGAUUGUUCUCCCUCUCAUGGUCCUGAGAGAUGCAGUGUUUCAGGGUGCCAUGGGAGGGGCCAGUGGCUACAUGGUAUUUCUUCUCCACAAGCACUACCAGCAAGUCCUCUACCUUCAGAGCUCCAAGCUUCUCUACAGAACUCCCCCUGAGCUGAGAGCUGCUCAAAGUGUUCUCCUUCUGAUGCUCUGUUUUGUUUUCUUCUACUGGACAGAUUGUGCCCUUUUUUCUAAUUUUAAGUCUCUCUUCAAGGGACAAUAACCUAAUGGCAAAUCCUUGAGAGUUUCUGGCCAUUGGUUAUACAACUUUUAGUCCCUUGAUGCUGAUUCAGAGGGAUGGGCUUCUGGCUGGCUGGUGUCAGAUGGCUCAGAUGGAGAAAUUGAGAAAAUGUCUCUUAUUUGUAUGUUUAGCAAGUGUGGAAAAAACUCUCAGUUCUUCAAUAUUGUGGGUACAAUCAAAUCAUCCAAAGAAGUUUAGGCAACUAUUUGUUCUCAGACACUUUUCCUGGUCACUCAAGUCUUGAACUGAAAAUUAAUUGUAAGUUAACUCUGUAA
This 1739-nucleotide long non-coding RNA is filed under the name Mus musculus (house mouse). The record is from RNAcentral. Lineage: Eukaryota; Metazoa; Chordata; Mammalia; Rodentia; Muridae.